UACGGAGGGUGCAAGCGUUAUCCGGAUUCAUUGGGUUUAAAGGGUGUGUAGGCGGAUUUUUAAGUCAGUGGUGAAAUCUCCGGGCUCAACCCGGAAACUGCCAUUGAUACUAUUAGUCUUGAAUUCUGUUGAGGUGGGCGGAAUACAUCAUGUAGCGGUGAAAUGCUUAGAUAUGAUGUAGAACACCGAUUGCGAAGGCAGCUCACUAAGCAGACAUUGACGCUGAGGCACGAAAGCGUGGGGAUCAAACAGG
RNAcentral lists this ribosomal RNA (253 nucleotides) under uncultured bacterium. Its description in RNAcentral is "partial 16S ribosomal RNA". It matches the Rfam family "Bacterial small subunit ribosomal RNA", at positions 524 to 776 of the family's 1533-position model. The record is from RNAcentral.